Molecule: long non-coding RNA, 353 nt
Organism: Bombyx mori (domestic silkworm)
Lineage: Eukaryota; Metazoa; Arthropoda; Insecta; Lepidoptera; Bombycidae
Exons: 2
Source: RefSeq, a predicted model, not a curated record
AUAAACUUGUUUGAAAGGAAAUUUAUUUGACAUAACAAGUAUAAUAGAGUGAUGGAUGCUGACAACGACAAUUAUUGGUAAAUAUUAGAACUGCAUUAUACUAGGAGCGAAGAUACGUCAAGCAGUCAUGGAAUCUAGUUUUAAAGGUUCCGUUAUACAAUUUGAAAGUUCGACCUCAUGCCUCAAGUUUGGCGGAGCCGGAGCGGAGCCGGAGCGGAGCUUGUGCGGAGCAGGAGCGGAGCCGGAGCGGAGCUUGAGCGGAGCCGGAGCCGAGCCGAAGCGGGCCGCUAGUUGUUUAUAAUCUGACGAAGCGUGUUGCAGAUAAUAAUAUGUACUUUUAGGUUAUUAAACUA